This is a non-coding RNA of Musa acuminata subsp. malaccensis (wild Malaysian banana), 1096 nucleotides long. The record is from RefSeq and is a predicted model, not a curated record. NCBI's taxonomy places the organism in Eukaryota, Viridiplantae, Streptophyta, Magnoliopsida, Zingiberales, Musaceae.
GAGAAGACAUAGAGAAGGGAGUCGCGUCCAUGGACAAUGAAGGCCGCGACGGGGAGGAGGAGAGGGGGAAGUCUGCCGAGUCCUCACAGCCUCCGAUAUAAGACGCAUAAGAAGUUCGAUAAUUUGCUUAUUGUGAAAUUGGGCAGGAUCACCAUGGUUAUUGUGCUUAGCAUAUUGUAUACUCUGUUGACCUUCGGAGGCUACACUUACAACAGAUGAAAUGUUUCUGCUUUCCAUCUGUAUUUCUAUUUGUUGUAUUGAACUUCUCUCUUGGGACAGUUUGUGGAGGUUCUUUGCAGGAGCUCAGGUAAGGUUAGGAGGUUCGCAGCUGGAACCACUGCUGGAUAUGCAUUGUAUGUGAUCAAUUGUAAACUGGAUAUCGGGGUUGCCCCAGGCUUGCAUAUUGAGGCUGUAAAGGAAGGGGAGGAACCUGUGGUCUUUGGUCCUAAUUCUAUUCUUGUUAACUACGGGAAAGGUUGGAAUUUGCAGACUGUUACUGAUGAAGGGCAUGACGAAUCAAUAGGAAUGCUGCAGAAUUCAAAGAUAUCACCCAACUUCCAAUCCUUCAAGAAGCCGAUGACUAUGAAUCAGCCAAAUUCAACUAUCAGUUUUCAGUAUAUUGGGAAGAUACUACUAGCCUUUGCCUUCAUGUUCCUGCUUGGAGGAAUAUUCACCUUCUUCUUGCAAAACCUCCCAGCUAUGAACCUCUCAGCUGUAUCAAGUCUAUAACUUGAUCAACUGUGUUGUUCUCUAGCAUUCAGUUUGUGAAUUAUUCGAUGUCCAAGCCAGCUCUCUGUGGAGCGUCAUAAAAUCAUUCCUAACAUCACCAUAUAUUGGAUUGUUUGUAUUUCUUAUCUUUAGUUUUUGCAAGGAUGAACAUGUGGAAGUCUUCCCUCAUAAUUAGCCUUAGAAAACAUCUUGUUUUACUUGUCUUUUGGACAUUUUUAUAUGCAUAUUCACAAGGAAAAUGUUGGUCUGAAUUAAAGUUUUAUUUUUGAAGUUUGUAUUGAUGAUUCUCUUGUACCAAAAAACACUUCUACAUAGCCUGAAAACUGUGUUAGAGGUGGUUAACUGCAGGGUAUGUUUUGGACUUAUA